This 2089-nucleotide long non-coding RNA is filed under the name Homo sapiens (human). RNAcentral's name for it is "HSALNT0401813". Lineage: Eukaryota; Metazoa; Chordata; Mammalia; Primates; Hominidae. The record is from RNAcentral.
AUGACGCACAGUGCUGGCGCAAGUCGUCUUGCGCCAGGCGACUGGGUCUGAGGAGGCAGGAGUUAUUCAUUCCCUUAAGCUUUCAGGCCGGGGGGAGAAUCUUUCAGGUGGUAGCUGCAAGAACUCUUAGUAUGUUGACCUCACCUCUGCCUUCCACAUACCACUACCAGUGAGGAAUUAGGAAUGCAUGAGAAGAGUGUCCAAGAAGAGUGUCCUCAUUCAUGCAAGGCUUAAGAGAGAAUGCAGGUCAACAUCACCAUGUCAAUCAGAGAAUACUUCUGUUGGGUUGAAUGACUCUCUGCCCCCAGGUGCAGAUGCUGAGAGCACUUUCUAGUCAAGUCCUGCAUGUUCAUUUCUGUCUCAAGUCAGCUUCUCUGAGAAUCCAAUUUAUAAAAAUAUAUUUGUGAAUGUAUAAGUAAAGUGACUUGGAUUUUGUCUACGUACAAGGACUUCUAUGCCUGCAUAAAACAGGAAAGAGAUCUUCAUGUAAACAGAGUCCCUCUUAUUGGCUGAAGUGAAGAGUCAUUCUGAGGAGGAUCUGAAAAUGUAGAGGUGAGACGCUAAUGGCAGAGUGGCCUCAGCUUUCACCAGGUUUUGAAAACAUCUGUGAGGGAGGCACCAAAUUCACUGUCCUGCAGCUUUGACUUCCCAAUCCUCGUUGCCUCGUGCUGCCAGCCUGUAUGCUGGUAGAAGUGUGUUCCUGGGAACAUCCUGGCAUCUUGUGUUAGGACUACACUGGUGCAUGGGACAGAUCACGCUCAAGAAGGUCGAUGUAAUUUGAAAAACAGAUGGGCUCUGCUUUGUGAAAACUCCAAGCAUAUGAAGUCUAACUUGAAUAAAAGGCAUCUCAAGAUGAAGGUUUCCUAUUUGUGAUUAUGAAAAAAAUGUCAAGAACAAGUCCCUUGGUGUUCUUAGACCAAAGUCAGAACAACAGACCUAGUAUUUGUCUGGGGCUGGCUGUGCACCCAGAAGGCCAUUCGUUCCAUGAAGAACAUGACAGAGGUACCUGGUCCUACCUGGAUUCUUGGGCAUGCGGGCAGCAGCAGCAGCAGCAGCCACAGUGAACUUCAUCCUAAGGAAAUUAAGCACACGUUGCGUGAGGCUGCUGUGGGGGUGCCAGGUGCUGAGGUUUCUGUAGUGGAUAAAACACAAAAAUACCAGCCCUCAUGGUGAAAAUGGAAUGACAAUAAACAAGAUAAAUUAGAUCUAUGCAACAAAACCAAGCCUUUGUGCACAUCUGUGGUUGUGACCAGUUGGAGAGACAUUAGGAGAUGAGAUACUAUGUUCACUCCUCACAGCUGUACCAGGGACCUGAGAUAUUCCGUCACUAUUCUAUGAGAUUUUGGAGAUCCCACCAGUGGUUUUCCGGUGCCAGGGUAUGAGAAGAUAGUCUCCAUGUCCAAACUCACAAUUUCAGAACAAAUUUCAUCAAGAUAAAGGCCUGGGCUGGUGAAUGGUUCCUGCUUUCACUAUUCCAGAUGUCCAGCUCUGUACCUUGCUGCUCUCCUUAAAGCCUGCCUCCCUCUAGAUGGUCUGGCUUGAUGAUAUCCAACCUGACGUGGCCUGAAGAGACAGACAGUGGCUCUUGCUAGCUAAUUAUUGUCAGAUGGAUCGGCAGCCGACCAACGCUUCUGAAACUAUUGUUUUUGGCAAAUGUUCCUCAACAUUUUCCUGGGAGCUAUGGUGCAUUACUCACGAGUGACAGAACCAACGAGCUUCAUCUCCCAAGAGGCUGGUGCAUCUGUUUAAAGGAGCAGGCACUAGGCAGAGCAGCCCCCACCCCACCCUCCAUGGCAGAGUGCAGUGGGGGAAGAAGUUUUCAUAGAAAUGCUUUCUAUAAAGCAUUUUCAUAGAGAAAGCAGGUUCAUAUAGAAAGCACUGGCUGCUGGUUGGAGUGGAGAGAUUGAAGACCCUCAUCUAGGAUCAAGCAACCCCCAGAAAACAAUUUUAAACAUGUCCAUUCAGACAAAAGGAGUCCAAAACCAUAAGAUCCUCUCAGCAUCCUGAACUAAUGUCCAGCUGUUAUCUCGGGAUGGGAUUUCACCAUGUUGUCCAAGCUGGUUUUGAACUCCUGGGGUCAAGAAAUCCA